Molecule: ribosomal RNA, 468 nt
Filed under: uncultured bacterium
Lineage: Bacteria
Description: partial 16S ribosomal RNA
Rfam family: Bacterial small subunit ribosomal RNA
Source: RNAcentral
GACGAACGCUGGCGGCGUGCUUAACACAUGCAAGUCGAACGGAAAGGCCCUGCUUUUGUGGGGUGCUCGAGUGGCGAACGGGUGAGUAACACGUGAGUAACCUGCCCUUGACUUUGGGAUAACUUCAGGAAACUGGGGCUAAUACCGGAUAGGAGCUCCUGCUGCAUGGUGGGGGUUGGAAAGUUUCGGCGGUUGGGGAUGGACUCGCGGCUUAUCAGCUUGUUGGUGGGGUAGUGGCUUACCAAGGCAUUGACGGGUAGCCGGCCUGAGAGGGUGACCGGCCACAAUGGGACUGAGAUACGGACCAGACUCCUACGGGAGGCAGCAGUGGGGAAUAUUGUACAAUGGGCGGAAGCCUGAUGCAGCAACGCCGCGUGCGGGAUGACGGCCUUCGGGUUGUAAACCGCUUCCGCCUGUGACGAAGCGUGAGUGACGGUAAUGGGUAAAGAAGCACCGGCUAACUACGUG